This 275-nucleotide ribosomal RNA is filed under the name uncultured bacterium. RNAcentral describes it as "partial 16S ribosomal RNA". It matches the Rfam family "Bacterial small subunit ribosomal RNA", at positions 338 to 630 of the family's 1533-position model. The record is from RNAcentral.
CCUACGGGUGGCUGCAGUCGGGAAUUUUGGGCAAUGGGGGAAACCCUGACCCAGCAACGCCGCGUGAAGGAUGAAGUCCUUCGGGAUGUAAACUUCGAAAGAAUAGGAAGAAUAAAUGACGGUACUAUUUUUAAGCCCCGGCUAACUCCGUGCCAGCAGCCGCGGUAAUACGGAGGGGGCAAGCGUUGUUCGGAUUUACUGGGCGUAAAGGGCGCGUAGGCGGUUUGGUAAGUUACUUGUGAAAUCUCCGGGCUUAACUCGGAGCGGCCAAGUAA